RNAcentral lists this ribosomal RNA (497 nucleotides) under uncultured bacterium. Its description in RNAcentral is "partial 16S ribosomal RNA". It matches the Rfam family "Bacterial small subunit ribosomal RNA", at positions 28 to 507 of the family's 1533-position model. The record is from RNAcentral.
GAUGAACGCUGGCGGCGUGCCUAAUACAUGCAAGUCGAGCGAACAGAUGAGGAGCUUGCUCCUCUGACGUUAGCGGCGGACGGGUGAGUAACACGUGGAUAACCUACCUAUAAGACUGGGAUAACUUCGGGAAACCGGAGCUAAUACCGGAUAAUAUAUUGAACCGCAUGGUUCAAUAGUGAAAGACGGUUUUGCUGUCACUUAUAGAUGGAUCCGCGCCGCAUUAGCUAGUUGGUAAGGUAACGGCUUACCAAGGCAACGAUGCGUAGCCGACCUGAGAGGGCGAGCCGGGAAAGUGGAAGAGCGAAAGGGUACAGGCUGCGAGGGGAGGCAGCAGUGGGGAAGCUGCCGCAAUGGGGGAAAAGCUGACGGAGUAGAGCAACGUGAGUGAUGAAGGAAAUCAGAUGGGAAAACUCGGUUAGCAGGUAAGAAGGUAUGUGUAAGUAACUGUGCACGUCUAGACGGUGCCGGAUCAGAAAGCAAAGGCUGACUACGGG